Molecule: ribosomal RNA, 1434 nt
Filed under: uncultured organism
Description: 16S ribosomal RNA
Rfam family: Bacterial small subunit ribosomal RNA
Source: RNAcentral
CAGGCUUAACACAUGCAAGUCGAGGGGCAGCAUGGUCUUAGCUUGCUAAGGCCGAUGGCGACCGGCGCACGGGUGAGUAACACGUAUCCAACCUGCCGUCUACUCUUGGACAGCCUUCUGAAAGGAAGAUUAAUACAAGAUGGCAUCAUGAGUCCGCAUGUUCACAUGAUUAAAGGUAUUCCGGUAGACGAUGGGGAUGCGUUCCAUUAAAUAGUAGGCGGGGUAACGGCCCACCUAGUCUUCGAUGGAUAGGGGUUCUGAGAGGAAGGUCCCCCACAUUGGAACUGAGACACGGUCCAAACUCCUACGGGAGGCAGCAGUGAGGAAUAUUGGUCAAUGGGCGAGAGCCUGAACCAGCCAAGUAGCGUGAAGGAUGACUGCCCUAUGGGUUGUAAACUUCUUUUAUAAAGGAAUAAAGUCGGGUAUGGAUACCCGUUUGCAUGUACUUUAUGAAUAAGGAUCGGCUAACUCCGUGCCAGCAGCCGCGGUAAUACGGAGGAUCCGAGCGUUAUCCGGAUUUAUUGGGUUUAAAGGGAGCGUAGAUGGAUGUUUAAGUCAGUUGUGAAAGUUUGCGGCUCAACCGUAAAAUUGCAGUUGAUACUGGAUAUCUUGAGUGCAGUUGAGGCAGGCGGAAUUCGUGGUGUAGCGGUGAAAUGCUUAGAUAUCACGAAGAACUCCGAUUGCGAAGGCAGCCUGCUAAGCUGCAACUGACAUUGAGGCUCGAAAGUGUGGGUAUCAAACAAGAUUAGAUACCCUGGUAGUCCACACGGUAAACGAUGAAUACUCGCUGUUUGCGAUAUACUGCAAGCGGCCAAGCGAAAGCGUUAAGUAUUCCACCUGGGGAGUACGCCGGCAACGGUGAAACUCAAAGGAAUUGACGGGGGCCCGCACAAGCGGAGGAACAUGUGGUUUAAUUCGAUGAUACGCGAGGAACCUUACCCGGGCUUAAAUUGCAGAUGAAUUACGGUGAAAGCCGUAAGCCGCAAGGCAUCUGUGAAGGUGCUGCAUGGUUGUCGUCAGCUCGUGCCGUGAGGUGUCGGCUUAAGUGCCAUAACGAGCGCAACCCUUGUUGUCAGUUACUAACAGGUUCCGCUGAGGACUCUGACAAGACUGCCAUCGUAAGAUGUGAGGAAGGUGGGGAUGACGUCAAAUCAGCACGGCCCUUACGUCCGGGGCUACACACGUGUUACAAUGGGGGGUACAGAGGGCCGCUACCACGCGAGUGGAUGCCAAUCCCCAAAACCUCUCUCAGUUCGGACUGGAGUCUGCAACCCGACUCCACGAAGCUGGAUUCGCUAGUAAUCGCGCAUCAGCCACGGCGCGGUGAAUACGUUCCCGGGCCUUGUACACACCGCCCGUCAAGCCAUGGGAGCCGGGGGUACCUGAAGUGCGUAACCGCGAGGAGCGCCCUAGGGUAAAACUGGUGACUGGGGC